AAAGCACCUAAACCCAAGAACUGCUGUUUGUCAUGGCAGCAGUUGAAACGUUGAAACAGGUGCUGACAGCAAGUGGCUCUCGUCGCCUUUGGGGGCUGUGGCUGUGCCCCUCAAAGUGAAUUGGGAGGUUCUACACUC
Small nucleolar RNA from Artibeus jamaicensis (Jamaican fruit-eating bat), 138 nucleotides. RefSeq annotates it as small nucleolar RNA SNORA68. NCBI's taxonomy places the organism in Eukaryota, Metazoa, Chordata, Mammalia, Chiroptera, Phyllostomidae. The transcript has a single exon. The record is from RefSeq and is a predicted model, not a curated record.